UACUCUACUGUCCUCUAUCCAAAAUCUACCUUUUCAUUUUAGUCGUAUCUGUAACGGCCUGACCUGCUGGCAAUAAAAACUCGUUGGGUCCAAACCACUGGCCCAAAAUGCUUAAUUCAGUUAUUAUUACUAGCGUGUAGGUUUCAUAUAAACUGAUCGAAAAUCAGCAUCCUAUCCGAUGUGGGACUAUUAGGGCGUUACAGUAUAUGUAAAAGAUAUUUAGAAAAAAAAAAAAAGUCUCGAGCUUUGGAGUGAAAAAUGAUUAUCUAUGCAUACAUACCUCCGUGUUGCAAGUCAAGGUUGAUUAAAAGUCGUCCAAGGCGAAUGCACACGAGGAAUCAUUCAGUGUUUUAAUUUCAAAAAAAAGAAAU
RNAcentral lists this long non-coding RNA (371 nucleotides) under Ananas comosus (pineapple). RNAcentral describes it as "long non-coding RNA (ACOM_LNC018801)". The record is from RNAcentral. Lineage: Eukaryota; Viridiplantae; Streptophyta; Magnoliopsida; Poales; Bromeliaceae.